RNAcentral lists this unclassified non-coding RNA (207 nucleotides) under Hevea brasiliensis (rubber tree). The record is from RNAcentral. Lineage: Eukaryota; Viridiplantae; Streptophyta; Magnoliopsida; Malpighiales; Euphorbiaceae.
AAAAGAUUUUUUCAGUUCAACUACGUGAAGCAAUGGGCUUAUCUCAAAGACCUCGGCUACAAAUGAUAGAUUACUUAGGCUUUUUUGACUUCUUAUCUCUUGAAUCAAUUUCAACUUUCCACUUUUCUUUUGAACUCGAAAUCCCAUAUCCGUUGCGAUAACCUCGAUUCUCUCAAGCAAGUCUUUGGCAGAAUGGUUGGAUGUAAA